RNAcentral lists this ribosomal RNA (635 nucleotides) under Salmonella enterica subsp. enterica serovar Oranienburg. RNAcentral's name for it is "partial 23S ribosomal RNA". It matches the Rfam family "Bacterial large subunit ribosomal RNA", at positions 711 to 1342 of the family's 2925-position model. The record is from RNAcentral. Lineage: Bacteria; Pseudomonadati; Pseudomonadota; Gammaproteobacteria; Enterobacterales; Enterobacteriaceae.
AGACCCGAAACCCGGUGAUCUAGCCAUGGGCAGGUUGAAGGUUGGGUAACACUAACUGGAGGACCGAACCGACUAAUGUUGAAAAAUUAGCGGAUGACCUGUGGCUGGGGGUGAAAGGCCAAUCAAACCGGGAGAUAGCUGGUUCUCCCCGAAAGCUAUUUAGGUAGCGCCUCGUGAAUUCAUCUCCGGGGGUAGAGCACUGUUUCGGCUAGGGGGCCAUCCCGGCUUACCAACCCGAUGCAAACUGCGAAUACCGGAGAAUGUUAUCACGGGAGACACACGGCGGGUGCUAACGUCCGUCGUGAAGAGGGAAACAACCCAGACCGCCAGCUAAGGUCCCAAAGUCAUGGUUAAGUGGGAAACGAUGUGGGAAGGCCCAGACAGCCAGGAUGUUGGCUUAGAAGCAGCCAUCAUUUAAAGAAAGCGUAAUAGCUCACUGGUCGAGUCGGCCUGCGCGGAAGAUGUAACGGGGCUAAACCAUGCACCGAAGCUGCGGCAGCGACACUCAGGUGUUGUUGGGUAGGGGAGCGUUCUGUAAGCCUGCGAAGGUGUGUCGUGAGGCAUGCUGGAGGUAUCAGAAGUGCGAAUGCUGACAUAAGUAACGAUAAAGCGGGUGAAAAGCCCGCUCGCCGGAA